UGGAAGGUAGCCAUGAGCCCCUUGUGGCUGCUAGAACACAUGAAAUGUGGCUAGUAUGAUUGAGGAACUGAAUCUUUCCUUUCAUUUUAAUUAAUUUAAAUUUAAAUGGCCACAUGUGGCUAGUGGCUACCAUAUUGGACAGCACAGCUCUAGAUGCAUUUCAGUGUUAUUCCCAUGAGAUUCCCAAAUAAACUUCCUGCAUGCAAAUCUCCAUCUCAGCAUCUGUUUCCCUGAGGAGGAACCAACCUAAAAUGAAUUGCAAAUUAAAAUCUCAAAGUGAGUCAAAGCAACCAGAAUUUCCCUUCCCAAGAUCAAAACAUGUGGCGACCUGAUCCCCAUUCUUAGUGGGCUGGAGGUGUGUACUUUAUCUCACAUUAAAUAGUGCAUAUGCCUUCCAUUUAUCUGAGUCUCCAACAUUUCCUAUAAUAUGCAUACCUGACCUAUUUCAUUCAUUCAAGUUACCUGGUUAAUCUCUUUAGACUUUUGAUACUGCAACUACUGGCACAAGUUAAAGAAGGACCGUUGGGUGACUUCACUAAACCUACUUAGUGUACACAGUUUCUCACAUGGAGCCCUAUUCUUAACAUUUUAUUUAGAACUGGGCAACCAAAUUCUGGCUGGUAUGGAGUGCCUGAGCAGUAGUGCACAAAGAGGAGACACAGAAAAACAAAUACUCCAUGGUCUUCCAAAAGUAUUCUAUGGAGCUAGGUUUCUCCAGGUAAGAUUGGUACAAUGUGCCAGGAGCCACUCCAAGCUACAAAAGAUUGUGGCAGCUGAUCUCUUGGAUGAUUAUUUUUAUUCAUUGAGGAGUCACUUAAAACAUGAUUUUCAUAUUAAAGUAUUAUCAUAUGCAAAAUUCGAAUACUAGAUAAAGUAUGAAAUUUCAGAGACAUUUUGUCAUUUGUAACAGAGAAUCCAGGUUUGCAAACUUUUGCAUACUUUUGGUGGGUAUUUUGCUGGCAACGUUUGAGGAGCAUUACUAGAUUUCCACAAACUCUAAAUUAUUUUAAGUUGUAUCUCCCGUGACCUAAACCUCUCCUGAAUCUCUUCUUGGAAGCCUUACAAGCACAAGGGUAUGUGUCCAAUGAAGAAGUAAAUCCUAAUUAAGAUUAUUCCCACCAAAAUUAAGCAACUCUUCAUUUGAAAUAUUGUUUUUUAAAUGAUCUCCAACACACUAAUUCAGCAUAAUGUCUUCGGUUAUGGACACAUGUCUGGAGUCAGAUUGCCUGGGCUCUCUAUCACUCAAUAGCUGUAUGAUCUUGAAUGAGUAACUUAACCUCCAUGGGCUCCAAUGUCUUCAUAGGUUCUUCAUAAUAUUGUUAAGAGGUUUAAAUGUGUCAACAUUUGUAAGGCAUCUAGAAUAAUAUGUGAUAAAUAGCAAGUGGUACAAAUCUUCCUAUGGGGAAUGCUAAAGUUUUUUUUCUAAAGCUUUGUUUUCAGGUGGAAGAAAUAUGACCAUUCACAUAAUAAGCUUUAUGACCUCAUCCUGAGGUGGUAAUCUUGGGUAAAAUAUAUCUAUCAACCAACCCUCUAGUGACCCAACCUUUAGUUUAGCAUUAAAGGGAAAGGAAAGUACUGAAAAAUGAGGACCAACUCUCAACAACUAUUUAAGUGUGUUUUGACAUCUCAAAAAGCAGUAGCAAAGCAAAGAGAAAGAAAGAAAGAAAAGAAAAAAAGAAGGAAGGAAGGAGGAAGGAAGGAAGGAAGGAAGAAAGAAAAAAGAAAGAAAGGGAAAAGAAAAGAAAAGAAAGAGAGAGG
Molecule: long non-coding RNA, 1758 nt
Filed under: Homo sapiens (human)
Lineage: Eukaryota; Metazoa; Chordata; Mammalia; Primates; Hominidae
Description: HSALNT0358076
Source: RNAcentral